AUAAUAGAGAGUUUGAUCCUGGCUCAGGGUGAACGCUGGCGGCGCGCUUAAUGCAUGCAAGUCGAGCGUGCCUCGGUGACUUCGGUUGCCGGGGACAGCGGCAGACGGCUGAGUAACGCGUGAGUAACCUACCCUUCGGUAUGGUAUAGCCACGGGAAACUGUGGGUAAUCCCGUAUACGACCCCCAAGCCCUGGUUUGGGGAGGAAAGCCUUCGGGCGCCGGAGGAGGGGCUCGCGUCCUAUCAGGUAGUUGGUGGGGUAACGGCCCACCAAGCCGAUGACGGGUAGCUGGUCUGAGAGGACGACCAGCCAGAGGGGGACUGAGACACGGCCCCCACUCCUACGG
This 346-nucleotide ribosomal RNA is filed under the name Chloroflexota bacterium. RNAcentral's name for it is "bacterial SSU rRNA". It matches the Rfam family "Bacterial small subunit ribosomal RNA", at positions 1 to 344 of the family's 1533-position model. Lineage: Bacteria; Bacillati; Chloroflexota. The record is from RNAcentral.